RNAcentral lists this ribosomal RNA (255 nucleotides) under uncultured bacterium. Its description in RNAcentral is "partial 16S ribosomal RNA". It matches the Rfam family "Bacterial small subunit ribosomal RNA", at positions 524 to 776 of the family's 1533-position model. The record is from RNAcentral.
GACGUAGGGCGCAAGCGUUGUCCGGAAUUAUUGGGCGUAAAGAGCUCGUAGGCGGCUUGUUGCGUCGACUGUGAAAACCCGUGGCUCAACCAUGUGGUCUGCAGUCGAUACGGGCAGGCUAGAAUUCGGUAGGGGAGACUGGAAUUCCUGGUGUAGCUGGUGAAAUGCGCAGAUAUCAGGAGGAACACCGGUGGCGAAGGCGGGUCUCUGGGCCGAUAUUGACGCUGAGGAGCGAAAGCGUGGGGAGCGAACAGG